UUUAUUCAACAACUGAAUUUACGAAUUGGUUUACCAUACAUGCCACUUCUUCGAAUGGGGUUAUAUUUAUGGUAACUUGUUGGUUUAUUUGGAAGUCUAGGAAUGACUUUGUGUUUAAUAAUAACAGGUGGAUCAAGUGGCAUUGUCUUAGCCAAAUCCACUGCUCAGUUGACACUUUUAUGCAGGUUUUUGAAUCAUCGCAUUUGCAGAAGCCGUUACGUCAUGAAUCUUAGAUUUCUCCCUUAGGAAACACUAUCAAAGUCAAUGUGGAUGGCAGCUCCCUCAACAAUCCUGGUAG
RNAcentral lists this long non-coding RNA (298 nucleotides) under Trifolium pratense (red clover). RNAcentral's name for it is "long non-coding RNA (TPRA_LNC008336)". The record is from RNAcentral. Lineage: Eukaryota; Viridiplantae; Streptophyta; Magnoliopsida; Fabales; Fabaceae.